AUUGAACGCUGGCGGCAUGCCUAACACAUGCAAGUCGAACGGCAGCACAGUAAAGAUUUCGGUCUUUAUGGGUGGCGAGUGGCGGACGGGUGAGUAAUGCGUAGGAAUCUGUCCUGAAGAGUAGGAUAACCCGAGGAAACUCGGGCUAAUACUGCAUGAUAUCGAGAGAUCAAAGGCAGGGGACCCUUCGGGGCCUUGCGCUCUAGGAUGAGCCUACGUCGGAUUAGCUAGUUGGUGGGGUAAAGGCCUACCAAGGCGACGAUCCGUAGCUGGUCUGAGAGGAUGACCAGCCACACUGGGACUGAGACACGGCCCAGACUCCUACGGGAGGCAGCAGUGGGGAAUCUUGGACAAUGGGGGAAACCCUGAUCCAGCGAUGCCGCGUGUGUGAAGAAGGCCUUCGGGUUGUAAAGCACUUUAGUUGGGGAAGAAAAGUAAUGAGUGAAUAACUGAUUGCUCUGACGGUACCCAAAGAAUAAGCACCGGCUAACUCUGUGCCAGCCGCCGCGGUAA
Molecule: ribosomal RNA, 513 nt
Filed under: uncultured bacterium
Lineage: Bacteria
Description: partial 16S ribosomal RNA
Rfam family: Bacterial small subunit ribosomal RNA
Source: RNAcentral